This is a long non-coding RNA of Gossypium arboreum, 470 nucleotides long. RefSeq lists it as uncharacterized. Lineage: Eukaryota; Viridiplantae; Streptophyta; Magnoliopsida; Malvales; Malvaceae. The transcript is spliced from 2 exons. The record is from RefSeq and is a predicted model, not a curated record.
CUUCCCACCGUCACCGUUGACCGCUCACCACCACCUGGAAAAUAGAAAGAAAAAGGACAAAAAUAGUAGCAAGUGUGGUAAAUGUCAGAAACGAUAAAAAUAUGUAUAAUCGGCUAUAAAAGCUAGAUUUGAAAUGUAUUUUCACACACACGAAAGCAAUAAAAAAACAGAAAAGAAAAAAAGUUCGAAAGUGAUUCUCUUAUUUAUUUUUUCUUUUUUUUUAAAAUCUAUUAUUUUUUAUAAAAAGGAAAAAAGGUGAAAAAGGAAAAACUCACUUGUCAAUUCAUCUUCUGCCAUUGUUGGAAACUAUCUCCAAUGCCCGAAUAUCUCGAAACCCAUUAAGGUUUUGACGAGGGUUUGACGAACGCGGCCACCGGAGGCGGCAGUCACCGUCGUAGAUGAACGGUGGCCACGGCGAGGCAACAGCGGCCUCCAUGGCCGACCCAAGGAAGCCUACAGAGAAAAAAAGG